UACGGAGGGUCCAAGCGUUAUCCGGAAUCAUUGGGUUUAAAGGGUGCGUAGGCGGUUUUGUAAGUCAGUGGUGAAAGCCCAUCGCUCAACGGUGGAACGGCCAUUGAUACUGCAAGACUUGAAUUAUUAGGAAGUAACUAGAAUAUGUAGUGUAGCGGUGAAAUGCUUAGAUAUUACAUGGAAUACCAAUUGCGAAGGCAGGUUACUACUAAUAUAUUGACGCUGAUGGACGAAAGCGUGGGGAGCGAACAGG
RNAcentral lists this ribosomal RNA (253 nucleotides) under uncultured bacterium. Its description in RNAcentral is "partial 16S ribosomal RNA". It matches the Rfam family "Bacterial small subunit ribosomal RNA", at positions 524 to 776 of the family's 1533-position model. The record is from RNAcentral.